AAGGAUUUAAGUUAACUUAAACUAGUAACCUUCAAAGUUACAAAUAAAGUCCACCUUUAAGCCUUG
This 66-nucleotide transfer RNA is filed under the name Vesta saturnalis. RNAcentral's name for it is "tRNA-Trp". Lineage: Eukaryota; Metazoa; Arthropoda; Insecta; Coleoptera; Lampyridae. The record is from RNAcentral.